UUGGCCGGGCGACGGUUGUCCCGGUUUAAGCGUGUAGGUGUGUGUUCCAGGUAAAUCCGGUUCACUUUAACACUGAGGCGUGAUGACGAGGCACUACGGUGCUGAAGUAACAAAUGCCCUGCUUCCAGGAAAAGCCUCUAAGCAUCAGGUAACAUCAAAUCGUACCCCAAACCGACACAGGUGGUCAGGUAGAGAAUACCAAGGCGCUUGAGAGAACUCGGGUGAAGGAACUAGGCAAAAUGGUGCCGUAACUUCGGGAGAAGGCACGCUGACACGUAGGUGAAGUGAUUUACUCACGGAGCUGAAGUCAGUCGAAGAUACCAGCUGGCUGCAACUGUUUAUUAAAAACACAGCACUGUGCAAACACGAAAGUGGACGUAUACGGUGUGACGCCUGCCCGGUGCCGGAAGGUUAAUUGAUGGGGUCAGCGCAAGCGAAGCUCCUGAUCGAAGCCCCGGUAAACGGCGGCCGUAACUAUAACGGUCCUAAGGUAGCGAAAUUCCUUGUCGGGUAAGUUCCGACCUGCACGAAUGGCGUAAUGAUGGCCAGGCUGUCUCCACCCGAGACUCAGUGAAAUUGAACUCGCUGUGAAGAUGCAGUGUACCCGCGGCAAGACGGAAAGACCCCGUGAACCUUUACUAUAGCUUGACACUGAACAUUGAGCCUUGAUGUGUAGGAUAGGUGGGAGGCUUUGAAGUGUGGACGCCAGUCUGCAUGGAGCCGACCUUGAAAUACCACCCUUUAAUGUUUGAUGUUCUAACGUGGACCCGUUACCCGGGUUGCGGACAGUGUCUGGUGGGUAGUUUGACUGGGGCGGUCUCCUCCUAAAGAGUAACGGAGGAGCACGAAGGUUGGCUAAUCCUGGUCGGACAUCAGGAGGUUAGUGCAAUGGCAUAAGCCAGCUUGACUGCGAGCGUGACGGCGCGAGCAGGUGCGAAAGCAGGUCAUAGUGAUCCGGUGGUUCUGAAUGGAAGGGCCAUCGCUCAACGGAUAAAAGGUACUCCGGGGAUAACAGGCUGAUACCGCCCAAGAGUUCAUAUCGACGGCGGUGUUUGGCACCUCGAUGUCGGCUCAUCACAUCCUGGGGCUGAAGUAGGUCCCAAGGGUAUGGCUGUUCGCCAUUUAAAGUGGUACGCGAGCUGGGUUUAGAACGUCGUGAGACAGUUCGGUCCCUAUCUGCCGUGGGCGCUGGAGAACUGAGGGGGGCUGCUCCUAGUACGAGAGGACCGGAGUGGACGCAUCACUGGUGUUCGGGUUGUCAUGCCAAUGGCACUGCCCGGUAGCUAAAUGCGGAAGAGAUAAGUGCUGAAAGCAUCUAAGCACGAAACUUGCCCCGAGAUGAGUUCUCCCUGAGACUUUAGGUCUCCUGAAGGAACGUUGAAGACGACGACGUUGAUAGGCCGGGUGUGUAAGCGCAGCGAUGCGUUGAGCUAACCGGUACUAAUGAACCGUGAGGCUUAACCUUACAACGCCG
Molecule: ribosomal RNA, 1474 nt
Filed under: Salmonella enterica
Lineage: Bacteria; Pseudomonadati; Pseudomonadota; Gammaproteobacteria; Enterobacterales; Enterobacteriaceae
Description: partial 23S ribosomal RNA
Rfam family: Bacterial large subunit ribosomal RNA
Source: RNAcentral